CGUCGCCGACAUCGUAACGGGGUUUUACAUACAUAAGAUUAUUGUAUGAACUGUAUAUGUACUUUUUAUCUGCUCACAGAACAAUCAAGUCAGGUAAUUAUUUUUCCAGCCUUUUCCCCACAGCUCAUUGGCUCCCCGGCCCCCACGUGAUCGUAUUUACCCAAAAAUACGGCGCGGAUCAAUGCGCAGGGGCUUUUUUUUCCUUGCCUUCUUUUCCCCCUCUCCCACCCCCUUCUCUCUGCUGCUCCCCGCGACCUGCGAUUUCCUGGGGGUCCGGAACUCUGGACCCAAGGCACCGGUCACCCCCUCAGGACGGCUCCUAGCUCAUCUGAGAAGCCCCUGUGCCCAUGUCCACCCAUAAGCAGAUGGCCUCCCCCCAACCAUGAGGAUUUUUUAAUGGGGUGAAAAUGCCAGUCCCCGAAGCCAGGGUUCUCGGACCCCCAGGGCCGAGCUGGGCGCGGGAGCCCCGCAGGGGCGGGGAGGCCGACCGAGCUUGAAGAAGUGUAGGAGAGAUCUACACAACUUAAGUGGGGCGUCCCCAUCCCAUCUUCCUGCGCACCCUCCUUUGCCCCCAACUCCAUCUCUGCGACACUUCCCCACCCCCACUCCCCCCAAAAAGUCGCUCCCGGGCUCUGUCUGCAGAGAGCCAGGGUGAGAGCGGGCAAGGCAAAAGAGCGACCUCGGUCGUGGGCAAGUAGCUUGUUUUUACGUCCCUCAAUAAAAUUUUUAUGAGGAUCAUUUGAUUGUUCAUAAAUGUAUCUUUCAUUAAAUAAAAUUGUAGGCUGUUUUUGGAACGGGAAAAAAGCAACGGAGGAACAGGAGAAAGCAAUUUCUUUGGGGUCGGAUGCAGGAAUUCCAGAGGGGGCAGUGUGAUUGCAGAGGAAUAUCAGACAACUUGGAUUCCUCCCCCCAAUAAGUUGGUUGCUACCCUCCUCCUUCAAUUGAGGGUUUGUGCCCAGCCCUCUGCUUUGCAUCAGACUGUCCCAUGGUGGUGUAGUAAAGGGGGGCUUUAGUCAAGUAGGAAAUUAUCAGGGUGGGUGAAGAAGAGGGGGCAUGGAGGUUGGCUGGGGGGUGGGGAGAAAGGGACAGGUGAAACCCCCAGAAAUAUGGUGCACUUAGGCAGGGUAGAGUGAAUUUAAAGGAGGGGUGCAAUUUCAGGGUCAGAAAGGAAGAGUCCCAGUCUGUGGCCAGGGAAAAUAGACAGGAGCUGAGGUUGAGAUGCAGGCUCUGGAGGCAGCAGGGUAGGAGUCUUCCCAGACCCGGCCACGCCUGCCCUUCUUUCCCUCUCCUGUCCCCAGGAGGGGACCAAACGCCAGGGGUAGGGGCGGGGGCUAGUUUUCUCCUGCGUCUCUAUGGAUCUUUCUCCUCUGGGGUGGAGAGGGGCUGGGGAGAGUGUGUAUAGUAUGUGUGUUCCGGGGGGAGGAAAGUUAGGGGGAGACAGCUGCAGCUGGCAGCACCGACCCCAGCUCCAUAGGCCCCCUCCCAAGUCUCUGCUCCUCCCCCUCUCUGGCUCUUUCCUUUUCCUUUUUGGUCUAAGGGGGCGGCUUAACGGGGCUGGGAUUUCAACUCAUGGGGGAGGAUGAGGGAUGUGUUUGGUUGGGGAGAGGCGACUUGGGGGUUCAGCUCCUUGGCGCCACUGUCUUCCCCUCCCUUGAGCUGGACUGAGCUGGGAAGCCCAACUUACAACAAGAAACAGAAUAUCUCUUUGGCCUUGAUGGAGUUGGGUUAGCUGUCAAUCAAAAAAUCUCCCUCACUAGUUCAAGGAAAAGACAGGAGGUUCCAGUCCCCCUGCCGAGGCUUUCUCCAAAUCCCCAGUACAGCCAGCACCUCCCCCAGCCCAGGGCGGCUGAGGACCGGGCCCGGCACUUGGGCGGCUGCUGGCAGCGAUGAGCAGAGACGUUUAGCCCUCAGCGGGGCCCGGGGCCAGACUGAGACCAAGAGGACAUCAGGGGACAGAGCCUGAGAGAGACUGAACCCGAGACAGCCUGGGACAGACCAACUGAAACAUGGAGUCAGGCCCAAGAGAGGAAAGAAGGAAGCGGAGCAUUAGAAUAAAGGGAAAAAAGGGGGAGAAUUAAAAGAAGGAAGGCAAGAUGAAAAGAGAUAGGAGAGCCGGGAAAGGCAGGCGUGCAGAGAGGGAGGCGGAGGAAGGGCGGCCGUAGGCAGGCAGGACGGGGCAGGGGCGAGCUGGCGGAGCAGCCGUGGCAUUGUGCAGCCCGCUGGCUUGCCGGGCCUUUGCCGCGGGACCGGCUCCGGGCGCGGCGGCCACUUCUGUCUGGACACAAAGGCGGAAGAGGGCUCCUCUCCUGCCCCUCCCAGGAGACUUGCUCGGAUGGGUACUCUAGGCCUCAGGGAUAUAGAACCCCAUAUUGGUCCAGACAGCCGCUUAGGCAGCUGGGGGCUGAGCCCUGCUCUAUUCAAGGAGCGAAGAAACAGAAGAGGAAAGAGGUUUCACCCCUGCUCUUCCUUUGCGUCUUCUCCAAGCGACAAGGCCAGCUGCCCCAGCCUCAGCUUUCCUGGAGGAAAGAGUCCCUAAGGAGCCUCCCCUAUGGGCCUCUGCUAUUUGGGAGAGUUCCUCAAAUAGACAUUGGGGCCGUAAAGAGAUGCCCCCUUCUCUCCUACCCCCUUUGAACACCGCCUUCUUUUCAACUCUUGAGCUGCCUGCGCACCCUGCCUGCCCACUCUGCGGAGGCGGCAGCAGCGGGCAGUGAGGCUCACCGGCGGGAUCCCUGCUGCCGUGAAAUCCCCUGUGAAACCAAGGAGAUUGUCGCUUUCCUUUAUUUUAUUUUAUUUUCUGGGACUAUGACCUCCGAACUCUUCCCACUCAGAGGCAGGCACGGCUGUGGAUCAGGAAGCAGGCCUCGCCCACAGCCCCUUCCCAGCCAAUGCCUCAUUUUCCCUGCGCCCUUCGGAGAGAGGCGGCCUUGGGGAGGGGGGCUAGAAGAGGCUGGGAGUUCCGGAGUCCACUGGGCGGAGGUUCCGCAGGUCCACAACUGCAUGUGGCCUGUAGCCCCCAUUCUCCACAUUUGGAGGGGUGUGGGUGGCAGACCAGGGCUUUGAAGCGGACCUGCAGAUUUCCCUCAAAUCCAGGUUUGUAGGUGCGGGGGGCGGGGCACAAAGGAUAUAGGGGCACCAAGAAGGAAGGUCUGUCUUCCUGGGGUUCAGUUACUCCUUCUGAAUCUUCUGCCAUACUCCAGACUUCCCCUCACCCACAUACUCCCUUCAAUUUUCCUCAGCACCGCUGGGGCAAACCCAGGGACUGGAGGCCACUGGGAGUUCUUGUUGGGGAGGGGGAAACCCCAGCUUUAGCUCGCAGCUGUGCAUUCACUCUGGUUCUUAGAGUUCCCUCCCACCCCCAAAAGACUUCACUGGGCACAGGAGAGACCCCUGAGGGGGAGGGGCACCCUUACUCCAUCACCUGAAACCUGGGCAGCUGCGGCCACAACCAAACUAGCACCGUGGGAAGGACAGACAGAAAGAUAGACAGGUUAGAGUCGUCCCCUCCCCCUGCCCCGCGCCUUCCUUUUAGUGAUUUAAAUUCCCUCCGGUUCAAUCCACACCGUCAAGUUCGGAUUAAAUUUAAAACAGGCUUUCUCCGGUGUCCCCAGCGGGCCAUCCCGGCUGCCGCAGGCAGGGAGCCCGCUCCCGGCUCGUCAGCACCCGCCCUGCGCGGAGAAGGCCGUACUCCAUUUGCUUUCAUUUUCCUUCUCCCCCUGAAAUGGGCUCAUUUCACCUCUCCACUGCCCUCUUCCCCUCCCCGCCCCCUCCCUGGUUCCCCUCUACUUUCCCCCCUUCUCUCUCCUGAUCCCUCUUUGUUGGGAAAAACACACCCACACACAACUCCUCCUAGCUAAGGCCUGCGCUGGAAGCAGAAACUGAGUUCUCUUGGCCUGCCGCGAGGAAACCCGCGUCCUGCCCCCACCCAAGGGCCUCAGGCAGAGAGACCCAGAAGACUCUGUCCCUCUGGUUUGGUCCAAUCCCGCUUCGGAAGCGCCUUCGUUACCUGGUCCUUCGCUCCCCACGGCCAUAGAUACAGGACAGGCGGCUCCCGCCUGGGGAGGGAAGCCCCGGCCACCACGGCCGCCGCCGCCCGCCCUCCUUCCCUCCCUCCCUCCUUCUCGCCCUCCCUCUCUCUCCCUCCCUCGCGCGCUGCCGCUCGCGGGGCCCUCCCGCGGGCAACCUGGUCUGGACCAAAUCCAGGUAUAUCCGAAAGAGAGAAAAAAGAAAGGACCUUUUACGCGGAAAAGAAAAGACAGAAAGACCUUCCAUUGCAUUUAUUUUUCAUGCUGUGACCAUUGGUCGGCCUCAGUUCAGACGUCCCGGACACGGCCCGGCAGCUGCAGAGGCGUGCAGGGCCUGCAGCCUCUCCCACGCUGACCGCCGCGCCCCGCGCGCCGCUUGCUCCACACUCUGGGCCGCCGCCCCCAGGGCAGCCCAAACACCCAGCAGACCUCAAGGUCCUUUCUAUAGACUCAACAUGCGGUUGCCCGCCUCGCCGCCGGCCACAGCCCGGGAGCCCGCUCUGCUCUGUCUGCGGCCAAAGUCCAUACACAAUCCACCUUGCCGGUGCUCUCGCACCCUGCCCGAACACCCCUUCUGGCCACGCAGCCGUCCGGGCCACACUCGUGCUGCGGUCCAGCCCAGGACUUCGAACCUCGCCCCCUGCACGACCCACACAAAGCCCUGAGCCCUGGCGUUCCCACCCGAAGCCCCCAGUCCCCGCUGCCGCCGUCUUCUUCACCUGUUCUCGGGAAGGGCUGCAUCUCCGAGCCGAAGUCAGGCCGUGGGCCGGGGCGAGGUCCCAGAGAGGCCACAGCGGAUCUGCCAGGCUGAGCCGGAGCCCCAGCAGCCGACGAGAGAUCUCAGAGACCAAGGCUCGCCUUGGCGAGCUCUUGCCUUUUCUUCCUCCCGCAAGUCUCAAACAUUCAUACACUGAGAGUUCAGCUCUAUAAAUCCUGCUCCUCUUUCCCAUAUCAUAAUUAAAAAAAAAACAGUAGGGGAGGUUUUAACUUUUAUUGCGAUUUCUGGAGUUGGGCUGCGGAGCAUAUAUUAAGUUUACGCUUAUGCGCUCUCGGCGGGGAGGGUCCUUUAAGAAAUAAAAAUCCAUCUUAAUAUCCACAGACGAGAGAGAUAAUUUUUUCUCUUCUCUUCACGCUGUUCCUUCUGAAGACUCCCUUCCGGCGAAGGGAAUAAAUAAUUACCAUCGCCUUAGCCAUGAUCCACGGCCUUGUGCCGGGGGUGGACUCUGACCACCAGACUGGUCCUCACCUUGGCCCUAUGAGACCUCGCUCCAUUUCUCUGCAUUUGGGGAGGAGACACCUCAACCCCUGGCUCUCUGACCUCCCACACAUAAGCCCAACAGCUCUGAAACGGAAAUGGGGGCACAGAGACCCAAAGCACAGAAGUCGUUCAUUAGUGAAUUUCGGCCCAUCAGGGACUCUAUCUCCAAGCCAAAUGCUCCUGAGCACCCAGUCCCUGCCUGGGACACGCUUUGCCCCAACUGACUGUGUGCCUGGGGCAGCCUGAAGACUCAAAGGCUGCUAGGAGCUCCCAAACUAGGGGAAUCCCUUGCCUGCUUCCCACCAGCUGGCCUGACUCUCUGGAAACUUCCCCAUUUCCCUGGGAGCCAUAGAGAGGUUUGAAUACUUCUCUCCAAGAGAAGAAAUUUUUUCUCUCACAAAGGGAUGGGGGACAGACAGACCAACAAUCCAGCUAGGGAGACAGGAAAUUCUAUUCCCAUUUUCUCCUCCAGCUUCCUUGGGAGUCAAAACAAAUAUGUUCGCAUAAGAGAGGGGAAAAAUAAAUGUGUAUGCGUAUAAAUACAUACAGGGUAUUUAAGAGAGCCUAGGGGAGACAGAAACAGAGCCCUACACUCAUACAAGGUCACAUAUAUCCCUCCCAGCAGAUGACUGUGAGAAUAUAGAACUCUGUAUAUAUUUUGUUACAGGGACAUAAUUUUGUUUCCCUGUCUAGACGUUUAUAAUGUUUUAAUAAUCAUAAUAAUUUCAAAGUAAGAGAACCAAGAACCUGACCUUCUUUUGGCUUCUCUUCCCCAGUAUCUCUGAGAACAGGGGUGUAUCUCCUCAGUCUCCAUAACCCCUCCCCCAUUUAUUCCCCCCCCCCCAACUCCGCCCGCAGGCAGGCAAAGAAACCUCUUUUGAGAACUUUCUCUGUAGCAACCAGGGCCAGAAUUGAAGAACCAAGGGGGAAAGGAUGAGAGGAAGCUUUGCAAAGUUUCACACUGCUCAGAUUUUCCUCUACCCCAUUCUCCUCCCCUCCUCCCCCUGGCAUCAGCCAACAACCUUUCCACCAACAUAGCAAUGGUGGGCACGGGCAGCCUCUGUUCACCCAGAUGUUUCCACAUAGUGCAAAGACAGGCAGCUGCCUGACAGUCACAGCCACAGAAACUGAGGCCUUCAGGCCACAGACGACUAAACAGAGACCAGAGUCAGGUUUUUGCCCUGAUGUUUCCCAGUUGCGUGCGUGUGCGUGUGUGAGGGGUUCUACUUGGACUUUGAUGGCUUUCCUCUAACCUACCAACACCCCAAACAUGUCCUUCCCCUGGAGAUGGAGCUAUAGAAGGGGAAGGGGAAAGGGCUGGGCUGGCGCUCAGAGUUCCCCAACUCUUGGAACCUCCAGGUACCCCACUUUUCUAAGGAGAAUCUUGAGCCCCAGUCGACUGGAGGUGGUAGGUGGGAGAGGCUAACCAUUCCAGAGACCGUCUUCUCUUUCUGUGCUCCUCUUUCUGCUAAUAAUUCUGCCCCACCCUGCUGCCCAACUGAGCUGGCCCGCCAGGCCACCUCUUACUCAAACUCCUGAAUUUCCUUGGAAUUGGCUGGACCCUCUUUGUCUGUCUCCAUCAGCUGGGCCCAGGAGACAAUAGCUGCAGGAAAGACUCCUCUCCCUUAAUCACAGGGAUUGGGAUAGGUUGAGAGGACGGCAUAAAGCAGGGUUCUCCAGACUUGUUCUGCAACCCCACUCACAGCUUGUCCUCCUUGGUCUGCACCCACUUUGCCCUAUCUGGGAGGGGGCAGUGGGGCAGUCCCACUGGGGAGGGUAGGAGUGGGAGAGGUGGGUUGGGGCCCUCGACGAAAA
This 7095-nucleotide long non-coding RNA is filed under the name Homo sapiens (human). Its description in RNAcentral is "HSALNT0189465". The record is from RNAcentral. Lineage: Eukaryota; Metazoa; Chordata; Mammalia; Primates; Hominidae.